AGCGACGGAUAGCAACCACGUGAUCAGUAAAAAUUGUGUAUUUUCACGUGAAUUCAUUUUCCGGAAUUCCUUACUCCGUCAUAGAAUAGUCGAAAAACAAAAAGGGGUUCCGAAAGUGUUUUGUUGCUGUGACUGACUCGCCUACAGAAAAUAUGCACAUACCACAUAAGUAUACGUCAAUGUCUGUAGUAAUGGUAGAUCAAAUGUUUCAUCUGUGUGAAACUUUUUGCUAAUUGAAAUGUUAAACCAACCACCAAUCCAUGUACAUAGAUGCGCUACGUAAACAAAGUUGUUGAUUGAUGCAUCGUAAUGUCCGAGUGCUGCAUGCUGAGAGAUUAAAUACUGUUUAUACAGUCAUUGAGAGGCCAAACAAAGUUUCUUGCAAGAAGAGGAAGUUGGUGGAUGUAUUCAAGUUGGACAACGAAAUCAUAGUUUCGUUUGGCAUCAGCCUGAAGACCGAGGGAGGUUAGAUAGGACCAGUGCAGGUUGAAGUGGAUUUCGAGUCAACAAGUAUAACAGCAAGAGAGGUACUCCAUUUACAGUGAUGAUGACAUAUCCCCUGGACCCCACAAAUCCACAAAUUUAAAAAUGUUUGAUCAAGUUCCGAAGAUUAAAGAACUACUGCAAAAUUUGGGACUGGAUGAAAAACAUUAAUUCACUUAUAUGAGCUCAGAGCAGUGGAUGUUAUACAACAUACUUUAAACUAAAUUGUGAAUUUAAGGGAAAACAAGUACAUGUCAUGUACUCGUAUAUUACAAGUACAUGCCUUUUGAAAGACAAUAAUAUUGCAUAGAUGUAAAGGAAAUUUCAAUGUUGAUUAUUUUUUCUUAGAUAUAUUAGUAAAAAAUGUGCACAU
Long non-coding RNA from Ostrea edulis (European flat oyster), 856 nucleotides. RefSeq lists it as uncharacterized. The record is from RefSeq and is a predicted model, not a curated record. The transcript is spliced from 3 exons. Lineage: Eukaryota; Metazoa; Mollusca; Bivalvia; Ostreida; Ostreidae.